This 88-nucleotide transfer RNA is filed under the name Fidelibacterota bacterium. Its description in RNAcentral is "Candidatus Marinimicrobia bacterium tRNA-Leu". It matches the Rfam family "tRNA". From Rfam's summary of the family: Transfer RNA (tRNA) molecules are approximately 80 nucleotides in length. Their secondary structure includes four short double-helical elements and three loops (D, anti-codon, and T loops). The record is from RNAcentral. Lineage: Bacteria; Pseudomonadati; Fidelibacterota.
GCUGAAGUGGUGGAACUGGUAUACACGCUGUCUUGAGGGGGCAGUGAGAAUAUUUCUCGUGUGGGUUCAAAUCCCGCCUUCAGCACAA